Molecule: long non-coding RNA, 434 nt
Filed under: Penaeus chinensis
Lineage: Eukaryota; Metazoa; Arthropoda; Malacostraca; Decapoda; Penaeidae
Description: uncharacterized LOC125031816
Source: RNAcentral
CACACCUGUCAGGUUAUCGGCCACGUGGCAACUCAGGCCGGCGUACGGCUAUAUAAAGCGCUGCAACUUUUCGAGUGGCACAGUUUGGAACAGUCAACUGAACAAACCGAAGAUGAAAUUCGUGUCGCUCUUGCUCGCUGUGGCGAUGGCUCUGUCUGCCCUGCUGGGGACAGCACGAGCCAUGCCUGAGCCAGAAGCCCUGGCCGACGCCGACCCUUGGGCUCAUGGCGUAGGCUAUGGAGGCUACGGACGAGGACGUUACUACGGAGGAGGAGGCUAUCGCGGAGGCUAUCGCGGAGGCUAUUAUGGACGCGGCCACGGCUGGUGAGACUCCGAACGAUGACUCCUGCCGAAGCUUCUGCUCUCGCUUUACCUGAAGGACGACGAACCGAUUUCCGAUUUUGCUACAUGAAAAUAAACCAAUUUUAAUUUUA